GAAAUGCGAUAAGUAAUGUGAAUUGCAGAAUUCAGUGAAUCAUCGAAUCUUUGAACGCACAUUGCGCCCGGGAGCAUUCUCCCGGGCAUGCCUGUUCGAGCGUCAUUUCAACCCUCGACCUCCCCUUGGGGUGGCCGGCCGUUGGAGAUCGGCAGCGAUUGCCGGCUCCCAAAUUCAGUGGCGACCCGCCGCGGGGACCCCUGCGCAGUAACAUACACUCGCACCGGAAACCAGACGUGUCACGCCGUAAAACCCCAACUUUCUGAACGUUGACCUCGGAUCAGGUAGGAAUACCCGCUGAACUUAAGC
RNAcentral lists this unclassified non-coding RNA (309 nucleotides) under plant metagenome. Its description in RNAcentral is "partial contains 5.8S ribosomal RNA, internal transcribed spacer 2, and large subunit ribosomal RNA". The stretch from base 1 to 105 matches the Rfam family "5.8S ribosomal RNA", at positions 50 to 154 of the family's 154-position model. The record is from RNAcentral.